GACGAACGCUGGCGGCGUGCUUAACACAUGCAAGUCGAACGAUGAAGCCUAGCUUGCUAGGUGGAUUAGUGGCGAACGGGUGAGUAAUACGUGAGUAACCUACCUUUAACUCUGGGAUAAGCCCGGGAAACUGGGUCUAAUACCGGAUACGACCAAUCUCCGCAUGGGGUGUUGGUGGAAAGCGUUAUGUAGUGGUUAUAGAUGGGCUCACGGCCUAUCAGCUUGUUGGUGAGGUAACGGCUCACCAAGGCGACGACGGGUAGCCGGCCUGAGAGGGUGACCGGCCACACUGGAACUGAGACACGGCCCAGACUCCUACGGGAGGCAGCAGUGGGGAAUAUUGCACAAUGGGCGCAAGCCUGAUGCAGCGACGCCGCGUGAGGGAUGACGGCCUUCGGGUUGUAAACCUCUGUUAGCAGGGAAGAAGAGAGAUUGACGGUACCUGCAGAGAAAGCGCCGGCUAACUACGUG
Molecule: ribosomal RNA, 471 nt
Filed under: uncultured bacterium
Lineage: Bacteria
Description: partial 16S ribosomal RNA
Rfam family: Bacterial small subunit ribosomal RNA
Source: RNAcentral